GGGCGUCUAGCUCAGUGGUAGAGCGCCUGCUUUGCACAUUAUGUGGUAUGCAGGAGGCCUGGAGUUCAAUCCUCCAGUCGUCCA
Molecule: non-coding RNA, 84 nt
Organism: Setomelanomma holmii
Lineage: Eukaryota; Fungi; Ascomycota; Dothideomycetes; Pleosporales; Phaeosphaeriaceae
Source: the annotation of a GenBank genome assembly